UCACGCACAGGGCAAACCAUUUGAAAAGAUGGGACGCAAAGCCUCCGGCCUAAACCGACUAUUCGGUAGGUAGCGGGGUUGCCGAU
Molecule: non-coding RNA, 86 nt
Organism: Vibrio anguillarum 775
Lineage: Bacteria; Pseudomonadati; Pseudomonadota; Gammaproteobacteria; Vibrionales; Vibrionaceae
Source: Rfam